UACAGAGGUCCCAAGCGUUGUUCGGAUUCAUUGGGCGUAAAGGGUGCGUAGGCGGCGCGGUAAGUCGGGUGUGAAAUCUCGGAGCUUAACUCCGAAACUGCAUUCGAUACUGGCGUGCUUGAGGACUGGAGAGGAGACUGGAAUUCAUGGUGUAGCAGUGAAAUGCGUAGAGAUCAUGAGGAAGACCAGUGGCGAAGGCGGGUCUCUGGACAGUUCCUGACGCUGAGGCACGAAGGUCAGGGGAGCAAACGGG
RNAcentral lists this ribosomal RNA (253 nucleotides) under uncultured bacterium. Its description in RNAcentral is "partial 16S ribosomal RNA". It matches the Rfam family "Bacterial small subunit ribosomal RNA", at positions 524 to 776 of the family's 1533-position model. The record is from RNAcentral.